GCCUCCCAAAGUGCUGGGAUUACAGGCAUGAGCCACCACGCCUGGCCCCAGUCUUCUCUUUUGAGCUCUAUCCUAUUGAAUCCAAGUGCCUUCUUGAUAUUUCAUCUAGCAUCACCUCAAACUUAACAUGCUCAAAAUGGAAAUCUUGAUUCCUAGGACAGACUAUUAAUAGUUCCUCACAUAAUGGUCCCUACUUGUAAAUGAAACAUCCUUUCAAUUAUUCAUCCAUAACUCCUCAGUUCUCUCAAGCUGUUCAUUGAACCCAUCAGCAUACUGCAUUGGCACUGUCUUCUAAAUAUACCUAAGAUCCAAUCAUUUCUUACAAACUCCACCCUGUCAAAGCUAUCAGAUCUGGAGGCAAUUAGCAAAAGCCUUCAAACUGGUUACUGUAGAGUCUUUGCAUUUAAUUUAGUUUCUUCCUAGGCAUGCUGUUUACUCAAUAAACACAUGACUCAAUACCUAACUUCCUUCUGUUCUCUGUUCAAAUCCUACCUUAUUGGAUUGACCUUUCAUGAUCACUGUAUAUUGCUUAGCAGUUUUUUCCUCAUUACUCUGUUUCCCUACAUGGUCUUACUGAUCUUCAUGGGUACACAUAACUAUACACCACAUUAUAUAUUUAUUAGUUUGUUAUCUGCUUCCUCUAUUACAGUAUUAUCUCCUUAAGCCCAAUAAUUUUUUUAAUUGCUUAUAUUCAGCUUAUUGCUGAGGACAGGGCUCAUGGUGCGUAGUAGACAUCCAAUAAAGAUUUGCUGAAUAGAUAAAUAAAUAAAUAUUCCUGCUAGACAAAAAGUCAUUUUUUGCAUGUUUUACUAUUGCUAACCAUGUAUAGUUCAGCGUGAGAGACAAAAUGAUAUUUAGAAACUGAUUAUUUGCUUUUCACAUACUUCAUUUUUCAGGAAGCUAUUUGUGUGCAUGAGCUGAGUCCUAGUCGUCUUCCAGGGCUCAGACACUAACAUACAUCACAGCCCACAGUAAGCAUUCAAUGACUAUUUACCAAAUGAAUGACUUGAAAGCACCAAGGGGAAAGAGAGCAAGUUUAAAUCUUCAUGAUACAGGUUACAAAGAAUUGGCCAGGGGACUAAAUCUUAUAACAGUGAGUGUCGCUUAAAUAUAAUUUCAUAUAAAAAUUUAGGUGUCUAGUUUCCCUUGAAAAAUCAGAAGAUCUAGCAACAGCGGGUUGGUGUUCCCUUCAAGGAGUAAUCAGGGGAGUGGAAGAAUGGCUCAUUGUUUCAGAAAUGGUAUGUGACUGUGAUACUGUCUCUGCAUUUCCUACUUCUCUCAUGGAUGUUGCUCCCCAGAGCCUUAUGGUGGUUUGUCUUUGUGAUUCUUCCUUUGCACAAAUAACAAUCCACCUCAUCCCAUAAUUAAAUAGCUUCUGAAUGAACAACAUUAUAGCAAGAGUAAGAACGAGGCUUUUGGAGUCAAACAGGCUUUGUUUUCAGCACCAGCACUAUCUUUCUAGCUGUGGGAUUAGAAUAACUAUUACUUCAGUUCUGUAAACCUCCAUUUUCUCAUACUUAAGACAGGGGAAACACAAUAACAUCAUACGGUUUAAAUGAGAUAAUGCUUUUAAAUAGCCCAGCAUUUAAAAAUACUCAAUGGGUGUUAGCUAUGAUGUCAAUAAUGAUGAAGAAGAUGAUGAUUAUUAUAAUGACUAGGAUGAUGAUUCUUGACCAACCAGGAUAAAAAAGUACUACUAUCUCUGGCUAAUCAUUAGAAAAUGUAAUCAUUGCUUUAGGUUCUGUCAUUAACCUUAGCCUUCUGUUGCUUAUUCUAUUUAAUCCAUAGUCAAGAUGAAACAUCUCCUUGGAUAAAAAUGUGCAUCUUGAUCCUUUUAAAAAUUAUUUAUUCCAUAAUACCCUCAGGAUUUAGCCACAUAGUCUAAAAUCUAUUAAGUAAAAAAAAUUUAAAUGGUUCUGCAUUCAUCACUGAAAUAAUCAAAUCUAAAAUCUGAAAUCAUGCAUUGGGGAUCACAAAGGCACAGCCUCAUCCAUCUUUUAAGCAGAAAUAGAAAAAUAAAAGGGGAAGUGGGAACUCCUCUCUUAAAGACAUGUGAUGGGUUGAUGGACAGAUAACUAAUUAAACUUAGUUUAUGCGAGCAAUGGAGCUGACUUUCUAUACAUGAAAAUGUUUGAAUUAGAAUCAACCAUGGUGUCAAGAGAAUUCUAGGAUACAGAGGAAUUUGAACUUUAUAAGACCUGACCAAAUGCAUAGAUAGCAAGGUCCAUCAGAGGUAAAGUGGAAAAUGAAGCCCACAUGUGAAAAGACGAGAAAAAAAUGCCUUUUUCCUAAGUUGAGGAAAGAUAAUAAAAAAAGAUAUUCAAGAGAUAUUGAGGGAGUGAGGUUGCAGAAACUCUAAAACUUUUGGUUUCAUGUGCUGUUCAUGUAAGGAUAUUUAUGUGCUGCUGGAUUUUGUAGGAAAUUAGCUAAUAGGUUAAUUGAAUAUAAAUUUAUAACUAAAUAUAUCUUAUCUGCAGUAAAACAUAAUAAUCCCAGCCCAACAUUAACCAAUACACUGAAUGUUCAUAAAAAACAAUAUAAACUGCCAUAUACCCUAAUUCCUGCAAUGCAUUUUAAUUACUGCUGUAAUUAUGGUAAAUUCCACUGCAGGUGCAAGGCAAAUGGGCCAUGUGAUAGAAGUAGGGAGAAAAUAAAUAUGUACCCUGCAUUUUAAAAUGUUUGAAAAGGUAGCUUGGGUAUAUAUAACAAAAAGAAUUUAUAUAGAAACAUCAAAAAUGAGCAGGGAGGAAAAGAAGAAAAAAACAAAGAAGAAGGAAUAAAAAGUAGGAAUGGAACCUAGGGCAGCUAGGACAGGUUAUUAAUAUAACCAUGUAAUAAUAUUCAAAGCUUUAUCUAAAUUAAGAAAAACUAUUUUAACUAUUUCUGCUCUGUAUAUGAAAUAAAGCAUUUAAAAAAUUUAAGUCAUAAUUGGCAAGCUUUAAAUAAGUUUUGGUAAAUGAUCUUUUAAAAAUAUAUAUGGGCAUAAACAUCACUUAAUGAGUUUUGAGUGUCUGUAGAAUCACUGUGUUUGCAGGCUGACACUCAUGUGGAAUCAGCUUUUGUAGCCCAGCAGCAUUUUGUAAAACCCUAAUGAAGGAACAGGGCCUCUGUAUCUUGAAUCUGCCUCCCUAAAGGUAAUCAUCAUCCCUUAUCUUCAGGAAUUAGUCAUAAGUCUUUGAAGUAAGCUUUUCAUUUUUAUAGAGAAUGUUUACUGAUGGAGAAAUAUAACACAUGAUGCUGUUACUGAGAGAUUAAACCUGUAUUACUGAGAAAAGAGUAUCCUCAGCAAUAAAUGUAAUUAAAAAUCAUUCUACCUGAAAAGAUUUUUUCUCUAUUUAGUGACUUGAAGGUUUUAUAAAAAGAAAACAAAACAAAGUUUCUAAUGCCUGCUGAACAGAAAUGAUUAAGAAUUGUUUUAGAUUGCAACUUCUUUGAUGGCAGGGGUUACUUUAAACUGGAAAGCAAUUUACAAAAUAUUCCAGAGUAAGUGUUCAAUAUAUUAUUAAAUUACUUGUUUUCACCAACUUAUGUGUGGCAUAGGAUCCUAGAGAUUUCAACAUUUAUUUUUCCCCUUAAAAAUAGCCCUUUAUUAAAUUUAUAAACCAGUAAUUUGGUACGUGAAUCUAAUUUCCUAUAAAAAACACACAGUGUCUACAUUUGCAGAUCAACUUAUAAAUAUUUUAUAUAUGUUUAAUUUGUGUAAAAUAUUUAUGUAAUACAUAUUUGUAUGUAUUUUUAUUACAUACAUAUUUAAUACAAAUACAUAAUUUGUCUAAAUGUAUUAUUAAAAUUGCUACAAAAUAUUUAACCAACAUGCAUAAUGCUAAUUAGACUGAAAAUCUAGUCAGAGUUUCUUUCUUGGAAUUCUAGUUUUCAUUUUUCUUACCUAUUUAGUUGGGGUUGAGAACUCUGGGAACUCUGAAACUAAACAUUUAAGACAAUAGGCUUACUAGCUUUGUGUCUUAACACAAUUUAUUUAACCUUUUGGAAAAUCUGUUUCAUUAUCUGUAAAUUGGAAGGAUAAUCAUAGCUAAUGGGUGGUUGUAGUGAGACUUAAGAAGGCUAAAUUAUGUAACUGGGUAGUACAUAGUAAAUGUUCAACAAGAGUUGCUCCUAAUCAUGAGAAGAAAAAUAUCCAGUCUUAAGUAUACUGAAAUAUGAACUUCUAGAUGAAUUAAGCCAUUGUUUCUAUAUCAAUUUUGUUUUCCUACAAUACCUGUAAAUAAAUGUAUUCCCAGUACACUUAUUCUAGCCCUUAAAAUGAGCUAAUGGUCACACAUGUUUGGCUUCAGUUUAUGUGUUUUUUGUUUCUUACUUGUUUACUGUGGUUCUAGGGGCAAAGACAUGUUUUUAUCAACUGGUCAUUUCUGGGUUCAAGGUGAUAAUGGCCUUGGUGAUGUAUUUACCAUGAUGCUCAAAUGAAAAUGCAGUUAUGGGAAUUUCUAAGAGUAGAUAAAGGGCAUUCCCCUAACCUAUUCCUAUUAUGCUAAAAAUAACAUUUAAUAUAUGUAGAUUACAAUUACUUGGUUUGAAAGUUACAGCUACUAGAAGUGAAAUGCCACGAAAUGUCUCAAUAACACAAUAAAGAGUAUAUUUGAAAAGUGGCAUCUUAAAAUGUUGAAGCAAAAGUGAGAGCUAUUAAAAUGGAAUCAGUUCCAGUGUAAUUCAAGCUGGAGUGCCUCAUGGAAGGCAACAUAUGUUGCAAAGGAGCACCUGCACACAAGGCCCAGGAGAGCUAGGCAAGCCAUUUCAUUUUAAAGCAAUUUGGAGAAGUGGCCAUCUAAAAUGAUUCAAAUAGACUAGAAAUUUGAUCUCCUCAUUUUCACCACUCUUCACUAAACUGCCUUCUCUUACUUUUUGGUUUAAAGUACCUUAGAAAUGACAUUAGUUAUCAUUUUAAAUGAAACAUCUAAAAUACACUUUUAGUCUUUCAGUGAAUCUGGCCCCCUUAAAAAGAUGAGGUCUUCAGGAGCUGGUGCUCAGUGAAAGACAGAACUGUUUAAAACAUAAACUCAUUGUAGUUAUCUAAGCAAUGUAAGACAUAUUUGUUAAAUGCCAACAAAAGCAAAAGCAACAACAAAUUGUGGACAUUGAUACUCAUUUUCAUGAUGUGGAGCUUACAAUGAGAUGCAAACACACCUCCUUAAUAUUCCAAGAAUUACUACUACAGGAUGUGUGUGAGUGUAUGUGUGUGAAUUUCCUGAGUUUAAAGAAUUUAUGCCUUUUCCUGAGAAGUAUGCUUAGAUUUAUAAACAUUUUAAAUAUUUAAGCACAAUGUAAAAAAAGAAAUCUCACAGCAAUCACAGAACAAGACACCUACAGAUGAUCUGUAUUAAGAUAUUUCAAAUAAUACAUUCUCAAAUUUCAUUCCAUUUCUAUUAUGUUGAUUCGCCUCUUCAGGUGCUGAAAUAUUCUGGAUGAUGGAGUCCACACUCUGGCUAUAGAAGCAGACAUUCAUACAUUAAUUCUAGCAUCCAUUAAAAUAAGUUUUCACUGCCUGCCACUUCCAAUUACCCCCUUUCUGAGUCAAAUCAACUUGCACUACUAGAGCUUCAUUCCUUGGUUGAAAUGAAGCUCAGGUUUAACACAUGUUAAAUUGUAAAUGCAGCUUCCAGAAAGGGGAACAUUUGAAGCCACUGUCAGUUACCAGUGCCACAGUGUGAAAGGGCUGACUGCACUCUUUCUGGAGAGAAAAUGUGGUAAAAUAUGGAGGAAAAUCCUGAAGAAGAAAAGGGACAAGAUGCAAAAAGAGGGGCAAAGAACACAAUUAACUACAGCAAUAAACUGAGGGUCCUGCCAACUUUACAGAGUUUACCUCAUUCAAUUCCCUUAUAAAAAACUUAUCUAUGUGUCCCUAAUUUUUCUUUUUUAUUGCUUGGGCCCCUAAUUCUAUAGAAUCUAAUUCAUUAAGCUUGAAAUAUGGCCCAGAAGUCUACAUUUUAAGCAAAUAUCUCAGGUAUUGAUAUAAGAAUUAUAAAGACUACACAUUAAUAGACAAAUAGAUUUUGAAAAAGAACCUAUUGUUUUUGGAAUCAGGUAUGCCUUAUCUCACAACUCCAUAAUACUACAAUUUCCUUCUAUAAAAUUUUACCUCUUUAGGAAUUUAAUUUACUACUGAGGGUGUGAAUUGUCACCUAGGCCCUGGAAAGCAACUUUAUUAUUUUAUGAAAAGCCAGAUCACUUUCACUGUAGCCUACAAAAAUUAUGGACUUUACAAUUUUCUUUCUCUUUCUUAAUGAAAUGCUCAAAUCUCUAUUUAAAACCCAAUUGUAGUAACUUUGCACCCAAUUGCAUUUGCAGGUAACAACUACUGCCUUGAGGCAUUGAGAGUUGAGCUGCAUUCUGACAGUUGAGGGGAAUGAGCUUCCUGGGCAGAGUUUCAGGAGCAUUGCUAAGUUGCUAACUUUUCUGUUUAGAACAUGCAAUGCUCUUGUGAAAAAAAAAAAUCUGACGUUUUAAAAUUGAAGAGCUGAGAGUUUCCAGAGCUGAGUUCAAUCAAGUCUUAAGUAAUGCAGAAAAUUUGAAAACCAUAAAUGCUGCAAAGACAAGGGUGAGCACACACUUACAUGGAGCCAGAAUGAAAGACUGUAUAGUGAGGUGGAAAUAAAAUGGUUGUGUAUUGGUACACCACAAUCUUGAGGUCAGUUUUUCUCAAGAUUUUACAAGGGUAAAAAAAAAAGGGCUUUACUGAAUGUGGGGUGAGUAGGAGGGGUUUAAAGGAAAGGUAUAAAAAUGUCAUGGGAUUUAAAACAAACAGAUCUUUAUGUGACUUCAUAGACCCUAUCAUGGAGCUUCAGAACAAAAAACAUGCAGAGACACAGAGGCUUGUCCACAAAUGACAGAAUUAAGAGACCUCUCAAUCUUCCCUGUACAUAUACUUAUUUCUCUUUUAAUCUUUUUCAGUAGAGAAAACAUGAGCUUUGGAAUCACACAGUACUGGGUUCAAGUUCUAGCAUUUGCAUGUACCAGCUUGAGUGACCAUGGGUGUGCUGUGCUCCCUAGGUCUGAAGGCCUUGUGAAUGACUGACUUCACCCUUCUGCACACUGAUCUUCCUAACAAUGUUCCAAAAGGUGUCUACUGAUUCACGGGAAAGUCUUGACCACUGCCAGGAUGAUACAGGUAGUCUACCCACACUCUGCCCUCUAGGCCAGCAGUUAUUAUGGUAUACACAUGCCCUUCAUUAACUGUUUCACUUUGCACACUGUAUCAGAAACAGUCUAACAGUGUCUUGAGGGAAUGAACCCAGAAGGUGGGUUUUCACUUGUGAGAGUGGGAGAUAGUAAUUUGAUAACGUUAUGUAUUAUGUUUCUUUCUGGUUUUUCCACUUAGAAAUAAUAAAAUAAUAAUUUGCAAAUACAAAAAUAACUAUAUUUCAAUUCUAAAUGUACUUGGGGUCCCCUUUACAUUUUAUCAUACAAACAGGAAUGCGUAGAAUAUUAUCUACCAAGAGAUGAAUACAUUCAGGGCAGGAUUUCAUUAUUCUUAUUAAUGUAAUAGUGAAACUUACAACCGAUAGUAUUUAAGGGUAGAAAAUAGUUAUUUGCCAUAGUGAUACCUUAUAAAAUAGAUACCCUGCACUGCUAUAAGAUCUGUUCAAGGCUUACCUUGUACAAUAAUUGUAAUGCCUCAAGUAUUAAAUUAUAUCUGCCUUUAACCCAUUAAUUUUACAUUAGAAAAAUGCUGCCCAUGUAACAUUUAAGUCGCAUCAAAUGUCAUGAAUGUAAACCAAGUCUAAAGAAAUGAUACUAUAAAACAUUCAUGCUGGAAGUUUAAGUAGAAAAUUUCCUAUGGCACAAUAUCCAACUGUAUAUUCUCUAUGACGUGCAAACUGAGUAUUUCAAUUACACAUUCUCUAUGAUGUGAAAAUUCAACUUCUAUGCAUUCAUCUUAUAUAUUAGUGUAUUCAGCAGACUUUUCUGAGAUGAUGGAAAUGUUCUAUUUGUCUCUCCUGUCCAGUACGGCAGCCACUUGUUACAUGUGGCUAUUGAGCACAUGAAAAUAUGCCUCCUGUAAAUGGGGCAUUAAAUUUUUAGUUUUACUUAA
RNAcentral lists this long non-coding RNA (8044 nucleotides) under Homo sapiens (human). RNAcentral describes it as "HSALNT0330600". The record is from RNAcentral. Lineage: Eukaryota; Metazoa; Chordata; Mammalia; Primates; Hominidae.